This 253-nucleotide ribosomal RNA is filed under the name uncultured bacterium. RNAcentral describes it as "partial 16S ribosomal RNA". It matches the Rfam family "Bacterial small subunit ribosomal RNA", at positions 524 to 776 of the family's 1533-position model. The record is from RNAcentral.
UACAGAGGUGGCAAGCGUUGUUCGGAAUUACUGGGCGUAAAGGGCGCGUAGGCGGUUCGUUAAGUCCUGUGUGAAAUCCCCCGGCUCAACUGGGGAACUGCACAGGAAACUAGCGGGCUUGAGUUCGGGAGAGGGAAGCGGAAUUCCGGGUGUAGCGGUGAAAUGCGUAGAUAUCCGGAGGACCACCGGUGGCGAAGGCGGCUUCCUGGACCGACACUGACGCUGAGGCGCGAAAGCUAGGGGAGCAAACGGG